GAUGAACCCUGGCGGCGUGCCUAAUACAUGCAAGUCGAGCGAACAGACGAGGAGCUUGCUCCUCUGACGUUAGCGGCGGACGGGUGAGUAACACGUGGAUAACCUACCUAUAAGACUGGGAUAACUUCGGGAAACCGGAGCUAAUACCGGAUAAUAUAUUGAACCGCAUGGUUCAAUAGUGAAAGACGGUUUUGCUGUCACUUAUAGAUGGAUCCGCGCCGCAUUAGCUAGUUGGUAAGGUAACGGCUUACCAAGGCAACGAUGCGUAGCCGACCUGAGAGGGUGAUCGGCCACACUGGAACUGAGACACGGUCCAGACUCCUACGGGAGGCAGCAGUAGGGAAUCUUCCGCAAUGGGCGAAAGCUUGACGGAGCAACGCCGCGUGAGUGAUGAAGGUCUUCGGAUCGUAAAACUCUGUUAUUAGGGAAGAACAAAUGUGUAAGUAACUAUGCACGUCUUGACGGUACCUAAUCAGAAAGCCACGGCUAACUACGUG
This 497-nucleotide ribosomal RNA is filed under the name uncultured bacterium. RNAcentral describes it as "partial 16S ribosomal RNA". It matches the Rfam family "Bacterial small subunit ribosomal RNA", at positions 28 to 507 of the family's 1533-position model. The record is from RNAcentral.